GACGAACGCUGGCGGCGUGCUUAACACAUGCAAGUCGAACGGAAAGGCCCUGCUUGCAGGGUACUCGAGUGGCGAACGGGUGAGUAACACGUGGGUGAUCUGCCCUGCACUUCGGGAUAAGCCUGGGAAACUGGGUCUAAUACCGGAUAGGAGCCAUUUUUAUUGUGAUGGUUGGAAAGUUUUUUCGGUGUAGGAUGAGCUCGCGGCCUAUCAGCUUGUUUGUGGGGUAAUGGCCUACCAAGGCGGCGACGGGUAGCCGGCCUGGGAGGGUGGACGGCCACAAUGGGGCUGGGAUAAGGGCCAGACUCCUACGGGGGGCAGGAGGGGGGAAUAUUGGACAAUGGGGGCGAGCCUGAUGCAGCGACGGCGCGGGGGGGAUGAAGGGCUUCGGGUUGUAAACUCCUUUCGGUAGGGACGAAGCUGUUUGUGACGGUACCGAGAUAAGAAGCACCGGCUAACUACGUG
RNAcentral lists this ribosomal RNA (465 nucleotides) under uncultured bacterium. RNAcentral's name for it is "partial 16S ribosomal RNA". It matches the Rfam family "Bacterial small subunit ribosomal RNA", at positions 28 to 507 of the family's 1533-position model. The record is from RNAcentral.